RNAcentral lists this ribosomal RNA (253 nucleotides) under uncultured bacterium. RNAcentral describes it as "partial 16S ribosomal RNA". It matches the Rfam family "Bacterial small subunit ribosomal RNA", at positions 524 to 776 of the family's 1533-position model. The record is from RNAcentral.
UACGUAGGGUGCAGGCGUUAAUCGGAAUUACUGGGCGUAAAGCGUGCGCAGGCGGCUUUGCAAGACAGAUGUGAAAUCCCCGGGCUUAACCUGGGAACUGCAUUUGUGACUGCAAAGCUAGAGUGCGGCAGAGGGGGAUGGAAUUCCGCGUGUAGCAGUGAAAUGCGUAGAUAUGCGGAGGAACACCGAUGGCGAAGGCAAUCCCCUGGGCCUGCACUGACGCUCAUGCACGAAAGCGUGGGGAGCAAACAGG